This is a small nuclear RNA of Suricata suricatta (meerkat), 163 nucleotides long. Its record names the gene U1. It matches the Rfam family "U1 spliceosomal RNA". From Rfam's summary of the family: U1 is a small nuclear RNA (snRNA) component of the spliceosome (involved in pre-mRNA splicing). Its 5' end forms complementary base pairs with the 5' splice junction, thus defining the 5' donor site of an intron. There are significant differences in sequence and secondary structure between metazoan and yeast U1 snRNAs, the latter being much longer (568 nucleotides as compared to 164 nucleotides in human). NCBI's taxonomy places the organism in Eukaryota, Metazoa, Chordata, Mammalia, Carnivora, Herpestidae. The record is from Ensembl.
AUACUACGGCAGGGGAGAUACCAUGAUCACGAAAGUAGUCUUCCCAGGGUGAGGCUUGUCCAUUGCACUCCAGAUGUACUGACCCUGAGGAUCUCCCCAAAUGAGGAACACUCAACAGCAUAAUUCGUGGUAGUAGUGGGAACUGUGUUCAUUCUCUCCCCUC